UCCUGUGAGGAGCAGCUGAGAGAGCUGGAGGUGUUUAGCCUGGGGAAAAGGAGGCUCAGGGGGACCUUCUCACUCUUUACAACUGCCUGGAAGGAGAUUGUAGCCAGGUUAAACCAUUGUAGGAGUGGGAGCAGAGGGAAGAAAUGCAGCUGGAUGUCCGACUCUGUGCCUGAUGAUAUUUACCAGUGACUUGUUAGAGUGUGUGUGUUAACUCUGUGUCACGUUCCCUCUGACAUGGUAUGAUCUGGAUGUAAUAUCAGCAGUUGCUGAGCUGUUCUUUCUGUACCCUGUGACGCUGCAGCUGUCACUGUUCACCAGUGGGCAUUGUGAAAUGAUGAGGCAGUACCUUUCUGCAGGGUACACAUUGAUAAGGCCUUGAGGCUCCUAUUUCCUUGGCUAAGCUUUUGCUAGAAGCAAGGAGAUGGGAGCUGUUUUGUCGUAUAGUAAUGCACCUAUCUAAAAUG
Molecule: long non-coding RNA, 464 nt
Organism: Corvus hawaiiensis (hawaiian crow)
Lineage: Eukaryota; Metazoa; Chordata; Aves; Passeriformes; Corvidae
Exons: 3
Source: RefSeq, a predicted model, not a curated record